UGGUUCUGGCAUCGAUGAAGAACGCAGCGAAAUGCGAUAAGUAAUGUGAAUUGCAGAAUUCAGUGAAUCAUCGAAUCUUUGAACGCACAUUGCGCCCCUUGGUAUUCCGAGGGGCAUGCCUGUUCGAGCGUCAUUACAACCCUCAAGCUUGGCUUGGUAUUGGGUCUCGCUACUUAUAUAGCAGGCCUUAAAACUAGUGGCAGUGUCGUGGGAACCCUGAGCGUAGUAAAUAUUCCGCUAUAGGUAACCUGCGAUAGUAGCCAUCAACUCUUACUUUCUAAGUUUGACCUCGGAUCAGGUAGGGAUACCCGCUGA
RNAcentral lists this unclassified non-coding RNA (315 nucleotides) under uncultured fungus. Its description in RNAcentral is "partial contains 5.8S ribosomal RNA and internal transcribed spacer 2". The stretch from base 1 to 133 matches the Rfam family "5.8S ribosomal RNA", at positions 22 to 154 of the family's 154-position model. The record is from RNAcentral. Lineage: Eukaryota; Fungi.